UACGUAGGUCCCGAGCGUUGUCCGGAUUUAUUGGGCGUAAAGCGAGCGCAGGUGGUUUAUUAAGUCUGGUGUAAAAGGCAGUGGCUCAACCAUUGUAUGCAUUGGAAACUGGUAGACUUGAGGGCAGGAGAGGAGAGUGGAAUUCCAUGUGUAGCGGUGAAAUGCGUAGAUAUAUGGAGGAACACCGGUGGCGAAAGCGGCUCUCUGGCCUGUAACUGACACUGAGGCUCGAAAGCGUGGGGAGCAAACAGG
This 252-nucleotide ribosomal RNA is filed under the name uncultured bacterium. Its description in RNAcentral is "partial 16S ribosomal RNA". It matches the Rfam family "Bacterial small subunit ribosomal RNA", at positions 524 to 776 of the family's 1533-position model. The record is from RNAcentral.